RNAcentral lists this ribosomal RNA (411 nucleotides) under uncultured Bacillus sp. Its description in RNAcentral is "bacterial SSU rRNA". It matches the Rfam family "Bacterial small subunit ribosomal RNA", at positions 452 to 862 of the family's 1533-position model. Lineage: Bacteria; Bacillati; Bacillota; Bacilli; Caryophanales; Bacillaceae. The record is from RNAcentral.
AGUAACUGCUCGUACCUUGACGGUACCUAACCAGAAAGCCACGGCUAACUACGUGCCAGCAGCCGCGGUAAUACGUAGGUGGCAAGCGUUAUCCGGGAAUUAUUGGGCGUAAAGCGCGCGCAGGCGGUUUCUUAAGUCUGAUGUGAAAGCCCACGGCUCAACCGUGGAGGGUCAUUGGAAACUGGGGAACUUGAGUGCAGAAGAGAAAAGCGGAAUUCCACGUGUAGCGGUGAAAUGCGUAGAGUGUGGAGGAACACCAGUGGCGAAGGCGGCUUUUUGGUCUGUAACUGACGCUGAGGCGCGAAAGCGUGGGGAGCAAACAGGAUUAGAUACCCUGGUAGUCCACGCCGUAAACGAUGAGUGCUAAGUGUUAGAGGGUUUCCGCCCUUUAGUGCUGCAGCUAACGCAUUA